RNAcentral lists this long non-coding RNA (608 nucleotides) under Homo sapiens (human). RNAcentral describes it as "uncharacterized LOC101928045, transcript variant 2 (LOC101928045)". The record is from RNAcentral. Lineage: Eukaryota; Metazoa; Chordata; Mammalia; Primates; Hominidae.
GCUUACUGGGUCCUGAAUCGGCUGCGUGCUGUUCUAGGCAUCUUUCACCCUGAAGUCACGGGAACAACGCUGAGGGGCAGCCAGAGAUUAUGUGGGCUUUUCCAUGGGAAGAACCACUCUACGUUAUCACCUUCUACAUAGUAGCAGUUGAAGCCAAAUGGACAGAAAGCCCGAGACAACAUGAAGUUGUUCUACAAGUUAUUUUGGAGAAAUUGACUUACCAUACCACUCAUCAACCCAUGCAAAAGCCUGUCUAUGUCCAAUCAGCAGAAUGUCUCGGACCACCUAAAAAGUAAAAGAAGGAGACUGAAAUAAUAGCAUCUUUGAUGAAAACUAUCUGGAAGACAAGUUGUUAACAAUUCUGGGGAUCUUGGUGAUUACAGAGUUCUUAAUCCCUCUGUCCAUAGGUGAUGACAAUUACAGGCUGCCUAUAGGUCCUAUAGUGCUCACACACCUCCAGCCCUUCCCCAUGGUGUACACACACUUGCAGUAUAUUCAUCUCUUUGUCUUAUUUGAGAGUAGGGCUGGGUGUGUGUACAAACUAAUGACAAAUACUUGACAGUCACACAGCAGUGAUACAAAUAAAUAUCUAGGUUAAUUACCUUGAA